Molecule: long non-coding RNA, 4762 nt
Organism: Micropterus salmoides (largemouth bass)
Lineage: Eukaryota; Metazoa; Chordata; Actinopteri; Centrarchiformes; Centrarchidae
Exons: 6
Source: RefSeq, a predicted model, not a curated record
CUACACUCUCCGGCUCCAGCGGCGCACCUGGUCCUCAUUCCACUAAUCAAGCUCCUGCAGUAUUUCAACCCCAGUCCUCCUCACAUUCUUCGCCAGAUCGUCAGCUAACCACAUGUGGUACAUGCGUCAAGGCCAACUAUCUACUCCCGUAAGAUUCCUUGCAAUUUCUGUGUCUCCCUGGAUUAACCUGUUUUUCUCUGUGCCCAGGAUCACACUACCUCUGGGAACUCUGCUGAACGCCACACCCCGCUCAGCUCACAUCUUGCCUGGACAAACUCCCCUCCUCUGUGUUCUCCAUUCUGCCCUGUUGGAACCUACCACCCAGCCUUCCGUUGCACUUUUCAGUAAAACCCUUUGUUACCGCUUCGAACUGUUCCGAGUCUGCCUUUGAGUCCUUAAGUUCCAGUAUUUUCUCAUGUGAUAUCAUCCCUGCUGAGUCAGCACACAUGUAUGAUUUAGUCUUCCCUCCUCUUUGUGUCUUUGUUUGGGGAAGUAACCUCUUUAAAUGAAUGUGGCACCUUUUUACCUCAAUGAAAAAUGAAUUCAUUUUAAGUCAGUGAUAAACUAUAUUACCGCGACUCACAGCGCCAUACGAGAUGCCGGUGUUGCUGGGUGGAGUUCACUCACCCAGAGUUGACAUUAUCAGUUAUUUAUUUGUUUUUCACAGAGCGUGUGAAAAGUGUCAAGUGCCUGAGAGUUGGCAGCUCUGGCGCUAACCUAGGUUAAUAGUCUGCCUAACUAUUAGCUCCUCACCUUCGCCUGUCAGACAUACAGGGUGAUUCUCAAGACUUUUUUGGCCACAAAUUUGGCCUCCCUGCAAUGUAAAGCAACUGGCUUUACAUUAGCGGCUCCUGCACAUCUUCAGUGUUUCACAAUAACGGCAGGGGGUGGGUUAUCAGAUCACAAGUAUGAAAUAUGUUUUAAUGAUAACAGAUGUAGUUAUCAUGUAUAUACAUAUAAAUUCUUUUGGUAAUGAUAUAAGACAUUAAGUAAAGUGUACUUCAUUUAAGGGUCCACCCUAGCCCUUUGCAUGGGCCCCCCUUGGGCCUGGUUCAUCUGUACCCUUUGACCCCCCCUGACAGCGGGCCUGCGACUGACAACCUUUUACUGCUAAAAGUGUCACCGUACAGCACCACAGGGGUCCCGCAUUGGUACAUUUGUUUGUCUUUGUCAUUUCUGCCUUUCUCUACUUUACUAUGACAGGUUAAUUUACUAACUUUAGAUUGAAAAAAAUUGCUAAUGAAUAAAGAUGAAGAAGGCUGAAAAGCAGGACACACAUUUGACUGAACAGGCUGUCAGGAGAAAAAGGCAAAAAAAGACAGAUUAAACAAAAACAUAGAAGUGGAGAGAAGACGACAAGGAAAAGUACAGAGUUCAUGUAAACAUGUUUCACAGGAAGACCUUGUAGGGUAAAUGGAGUGGAUGACCCAGCUUUUUCCCUCCUCAUUGGGUGGUUAUCAUCAGUAACCAUAAUAUGGGUGUUUUGACAAUCCAUAAAAUGAAUUAUUCGUCAUUUCCACUUGACUGGCCCUUUCAGGUAGAGAUACCCUGUCUGUGUCGUGCCAUCUUUACCUGAUUUCACCCAAGGCAGGGAGAGAGUGAGAGGAAGGAAACAUCUGAAUAGGAAGCAGUGGGUAACCACUGUACAGCACCCAGGGACCAACUCCAGAUAGAAUGCGGUGCGACCAGGGUUUGAACCUGGAACCUCCUUGCUGUGAGGCCACAGUGCAAUUUCACUGGACCACUGUGCCCCCCCUUCAUACUCUAAAUGCUAAGCUAAAUGGGAAUCUACAGUCCUACUGAACUUUGGACCCUGGUGGACAUGUUACAUGAACUUCAGAUGGUCUACAUCUAAGCAAUAUGCAGACCUUGCUCAACCUUUCACACAUUCACCUAAUUCUUAGACGGGCGUCUUGCAAACCCCCAGGAGUCACAGCUCUACAGACCACAAAGGUGAGGGUUGUUUUACUCGCCCUGCUUGGCUGCUGCCUGUCUGAGGCAUACGUCCUGUUCACUGCUAUCAUAUAUAUUCAGGAUGAGCCUGUUGAGGAAGAUAGCUUCACUCUGCACAGAGAGAUGAUGGCUGUUUUGGAUGAACAGAGAAAUGAGCUGCGACAGACCAAAAAGCAACUAGGUCAAAGGACAGGGUAUCUUCGGGAGGUGGUAGUGGUUGAAAUGUGCCGCAAGUCUUCUUUUUUGUUUAUUUACGAGGCCAGGCUGAGAAUCAGUGAGGUGCAGGGACUAAGAGCAGAGAAAGCAGGUGCAGCAAGUUGUGCGGCAGGUACACAGGUAAGCUGAGGUCCUUUUAAAAAAUACUUCUAAUCAAACUGAAAUCACUUGACAAAAUAAAGAAGCAAGAUGAUAUUUCCAUUUUUGAAAUAUAGCAAGUAAAGUUGACAUUACUCAUUUUUUCCACAAUUGCUGCAACCGUUCUAACUUUAUCAAAUACUUUAUUUAUGCAGUAGUUAUUUUUGGUGGCGUGGACCACCCUGCCUCUCCACGUGCCUACGUGGAGAGCCAUAAGGCGGAGAGAGCAGCUCCCGUUUCACAUGCCUACGUGGAAAAGCCAUACGGCAGAGAGAGAGAGCAGCAGCAAAGAACCCCACCCCGGGUACAGAACAGAGCAGCAUCAUUAAUACAGAAUACAUUGAUUGGACAGGAAUAGACUUACAUGAGGAGCUGUGGUGGCGGAGGGAAAUGAGGGGCUCACAGAGAAAGCAGCAAGAUUAGGCAGGCUAGGGCAGCUGAAAUAAGGCGCCUUGUGUAUGGCUUUGCCAAUGAGUGCUUAGAGGGAAACCAGCUAAGCUGUCAGCUGAUGUAGCCUGACUUGACGUGGAAUACUAUCAGGUGAUACGCUGGGAUUGUGAGCUGAGCUUGACUCCGUUGCCUGCCUGAACUAACGCUAUGCUUGAUUUAAAAAUUCUAACUGCUACCUUUCAAUCUCACAAUGCCUGUGAUUUGGAGGGCCAAAUCAAACGAGUGACAGAGGGAAAGUAAAGGUAAUAGAACAAACAAGUCAAUUAUUAAUGACCAGCAAAGUAGAUUUCCUCCUCAUCUCAGCUCACAUGAUGUCCCCGCAUGAUUUAUCUUUGACUGAAUGGUUGAAGUCAUGCAGUAUGUAUUCCCUCAUUUUUAACAAAUAGAGUUGAAAGCCUCACUGGCAGAACUCGGAAAUAAGCUUGUAGACGUGGGUGGAGAAGUGAAGGUACUGCAUGCUGCUGAUCAACGUAAAUUAACUACUACUAUUUGGAGGGCCAAAACCUCGAAAGUGGAGCAACUACAGAAGGAAAGUAAAGGUUUUACUCAGCCAGACUGGGAGUCACUGAGAGCCUGAGUGAGGAGCUGAAGAUUGAGACUACUGCAGAAAUGAAACGGAGGUGAAAGCUCUCAACACAGAUCAUCAAUGCAGGCCUUUGGUGUUAAAAAUUACAUUUGAUUAUGAAGGAGUAAUUAGGUAAUUAGAGGGCUUAAGUCCAGAGUGGAAGCCAGAGUGGGCAUGGACAAAGACAUGAACACACACCUUGAAGUUACUGAAACAUAACAAAGUUGGAAGCCAAACUGCAAACAAAUCAAACUGUACAAGAGGAACUUAAGAAUAAGAUAAGAGGUGAAAACAUUCAAGACUGAAGGUAAACAAGUUAAUACAUCAAUAUCAUACACAACAUGGGAAGGAUGAAGUUUGACUUAAAGGAUAAACUAUGGAGAUGGGAGGCUCUUUUUUGUUUUUUUAAGUCAAUAGGACAGCUGCAUUCAUACACAGAAAGUUCUGUGGGUUACUGUAGUUUUAGAAAAAAAAACUUUAAGCAUUUUCAAUAGUGUGGUUUUUGACAGAUAACUGUUGACAGAUAAAGUGGCCUUCUCACCAGCACUGGAAGAUAAUCAAAUGCACAUUGGGCCAUUUCACAGAGACAUCACCGACAUUGGUGACAGCUACGAUCCAACAACUGGUAAUGUACUGCAAUACCUAUUUGUGUAAUCACUGAAUCUAUUUACAGCUUUGUUGAUUAAAAAGGAUUUUAUUUCUUUAUUGUACCGUGGACCUGCUCAUACAAUCAUACUGUGGACUUUACACUAUUUUCUUCUUGCUUUGGUGCAUUCCUACCUGGGCUCUUGUGUUAAUGCUUCAUGUCUUUCUUUUCUUCAAAAAUUAAGAUCUUAUUAUAUAAUUAACUAGUGCAAUGCCCGUUCACAGGGGCCGAUGGGACGCCUCCCUGAGCUACUCAGAUAGUACUUGUUCAAAAUGUGCUUGUUCAAAUGUCACAUUGGUUUCACCUACAGAUUUAAUAACACAGCAUUAAUACCACUGAAAACAAGACAAUGACGGAGAUACUGUUAGAUCUUCAGUGCUUCCUUAGAACUUCAUAAAACAUUUACAGCUCAGUUUUAACACAUUAGUUGCUAAUGUAUAUUAAACCUCCAUUUCAACAAUUCACUCCCACAUCAGAGCAUAUAAGCCCUGUCCCUGUGAGCGUACCCCACUCUUGCUGAUGCAGUUUGGAGCCCAAAACCCCUAUAAAUUUACUAGUGCAAUUUGAAUUAAUUACUUCACUCAAAUAACUCUUAUAAAUAGAUUAUUUGUUUCUGUAUUAGUUGUUACUACAAAUUACGGUACAUUACGCUCUUUUCUAGAUUUCAACUGCAGAGGCUGAAAUAUCUCAAAUAAUACAUUACAUACAUACGGUGAGUCCUUGAGUAAUACACCCAAACACAUACUGUUCACUGAUUUCAUUAAAAAGCCAAUAAAUUAUGAUUUUAAAAAGCA